AUAAAAGUAGACAAAAUCUUGGUUCUGUAACAUUUUUGUGAUUUUAUAUUUAUAGGUUGGAUGUGGAACAGGAAGAAAAGGUUUCAUCUCUGAAAACACAGAGCAGUAACAGAUUUUGUGGAAUGAACGAAGAAAAAGAACUCAGACUUUAACAGAGAUAUAGGUACAAACCACUGUGCAAUGAAUUUACAGACAGGCGUUGGCUAAAGAUAUCAAAAAGUGAACUGGAACCUUAGAGAUUGACACCAAUGGACUCUUGAUUGGUCUGAUUGGUAAAGAAGAAUUAAGGUGAAGGAAAAUGAACUUGAGUUAGUAUCAGCCACCAUAAUCAAGUGUUUCCUGUGUUCGAGAAGGGGUGUUACAGAAUGGCUGUCAUGGCUGUCCAAGGAAUACAAAAGUUAAAUGGAGCUGAACAAUGGCAGUAAGGGGUGAUUUGACAACACCUACAA
Molecule: long non-coding RNA, 449 nt
Organism: Mytilus trossulus (common blue mussel)
Lineage: Eukaryota; Metazoa; Mollusca; Bivalvia; Mytilida; Mytilidae
Exons: 5
Source: RefSeq, a predicted model, not a curated record